CUGCAUAAAGCAGAGAAGCUGCCAGCGCUCGCAGUCAGCCUGGAGCAGGCAACGCAGCUGAGCGCCUUUCUAUGUGCGAGUGCAUAUUUAUUUAACAAUUAUUGCAGUUAUUUAUGACUUGCAGUACAAUUAGAAAUGUCUUCUCUCGCUAGGGAAAUACAUAAUUGAUAUACAGUCAUUAACGACCGUUCGAUUUCCAUCUCAUUUUCUGGAUCCAAAAGAGAGUCCGAGAUUACCUCUCUCACCGACAGACCCAUGCUGUCAAACCGAGCCAGAGGUCCCUCUGCAGUUCAUUGUCUCAGGUGUAGAACACAGUGGAUUGUGUGCGAAUAGUAAACAGACGUUUCCUGAGACGUUUCAUCUGUCGUACUGCAGGUACAGUAUAGCACCACCUCCGGCUCACUGUGACCUCAGUGAAGAAAGGGCCUCCCGUCCGCUACUGCUGACUAAUAAAGGUGACAGGCUGGUGAACGGCACUGCCUGGGAAGACAUGGAGUUCAGACAGGGUAACUCUGUCCAGGCGUGGAUAAAGCGAUCCCUGCGGAUCUUCCAGAAAACGCCUCCCUUAAGCUGCGACGCUGAGAUGGGGAAGCCUGCUCCUGCAGCUGUGGUAGGCUGGUCCUGGCAGCGAGUCUCGCUGGUCCUCGUCGUCCUGCUGGCUCUGGCUGUGAUGGUACUGCUGCUCUUCUGGAACUACCAGUGCAUCAUCAUCCAGCGCGUCUGCCAAGCCCAGGAGGAGCGCUCACCCUUCCCCGUCUUCGCGCCACAGUCCGAGCUGCCACAGGACGCAGCCGAGCAGGGCUAGAGCAGGGAACGAACAGGAGGAGCGGAGAGAGCUGCAGCUUCGUGUGGGUGUGAAGGCAACUGUGCUCUAAACUAAGAGUACAAUUAAACUGGAAUCAAACAGCACCUUCGCCAAAUUUGUAUCUCCAAGAUAGUGCAAGCACAUGGAAUAGUGCUCUGCUUGUGACGCUCAUGAGAAAUGUUUCCGUAGGGGGAUACCAGAAUUAUACAUUGGCUAAACGGUUUGUUGUAACUGAUUCAAAGUUCAGAACUUUACAGACGUUCAGAAUAUCAUUCAACGAGUGUUAUUAUUCAUAGGAAGAGUAAUUGCUAGCUGGAUGUUGCAUUUUGUACUCCCUCAUUUUUCAACAGGCAACUUUAAAAACGAACAUCUGAAGGAUCCCUCUUUGAGAGUGAAUCAUCAUUCAAUUCUGUACAUAUAUCACUAGUUGGAAUUGCACUGAAUUCUGCUGGUACAGUAUAUGGGUGUAAGUUAGGGUACAACCUGAAUGGGACACUAGUCGAUUGCAGACCACACACAUGUGGGGGAAAACUGAGUUCUGUCACUUGACCUAGACUGCAUGUCUUUGGAAGGAAUUUACAGCACUCAGAGUAAACUCACGUGCCCAUGUGAGGUGCAGGAGAAUUCAAGCUCCACAAACGGGGGCCCACAGGCUACAGUUCAGCCCAGUAAUCAAGAGCUGUGAGGUGGCAGCAGGACUCACCCCCAGACCUGGACCCCCUAGGUCUGAAUAUAUUCCAAAUCUGUUCUUGGUGACACAGAAGAACAGAAGGUGAAGGCACUGAGCAUAUUUUAAUCCUGAUCAUCAUUUCUGGCAUGAGUACCAGGAUGAACAAAAAGCUUCACAUUUUAAUUAUUAUUUUUUGUUUGUAAAAACACUAGAUGUUCGGUGGCAAGAUGAUGUCUUGGUUAGAGCUGCUGCCUCUAGAGUUCCUGGGUGUUAGGGGUGAUUCUGGGUGUUGUUUGCAUGUUCUCCCCAUGUGUGUAUGGGUUUUCUGGUGGACUGGUCCAGGUUAAAUACUGUCUCUAAACUGUUCUCUGCAAACAUGUGUGAGUAGAUGUGUUUGUGUACCAGGAUGAACUGAUCUCCUAUCCUGUGCCUCAUUGCUGUAUCCCAUGCAUGGAUGGAUGAAGAACUGCACAGCCCAAGGUUUAGCUUAUGCAGUGAAUUUUACAAUACUAGUUUAUCUAAUUUAGACUGUGGCACUCUAAACGUACAUACCAUAGUCAUCCGCUGAGGUUCUUUUGUCUUUGUUACAUUAAGCCUUUUAAAACACAUAUUUUCCAAAUGACAAAUCUGAUUUUUAAGAUUGUGUAUUUGUAUGUUACAAAUGGAUCAUGUGCACAACAAUGUUUAAUGUAGGUUAAUAAAACUUGUAUUGUUGAACUUACCUGAUCAUGUCAUUCGUUUCUUGUUUCAUUUUAGAAAAAAUAUUACCGGCAGGUAGUGCUUCUAGUUUUGAGUAUUAAAUGCAAUUCAAUAGUUUGAAGAACAAAUACACUUUAAAAAUGUCAUAUGUGCUAUAGAAUAACUAAACUGUUGGAGCAUUGUUGUGAGAUUUAUGCCAACACUACAGCUGACAAAAGCACAAUGAUGACUAAUGGAUGGGGGGUGUAGCAUUAACUCAUUGUUUUACCAUAAAGAAUAACAAACCUAAACCCUGUAAAUUUAAUAAAAAAGGCCAAUAAAUAUAACCAACCACA
Molecule: long non-coding RNA, 2509 nt
Organism: Lepisosteus oculatus (spotted gar)
Lineage: Eukaryota; Metazoa; Chordata; Actinopteri; Semionotiformes; Lepisosteidae
Source: RefSeq, a predicted model, not a curated record